RNAcentral lists this ribosomal RNA (253 nucleotides) under uncultured bacterium. RNAcentral's name for it is "partial 16S ribosomal RNA". It matches the Rfam family "Bacterial small subunit ribosomal RNA", at positions 524 to 776 of the family's 1533-position model. The record is from RNAcentral.
UACGUAGGGUGCAAGCGUUAAUCGGAAUUACUGGGCGUAAAGCGUGCGCAGGCGGUUAUGCAAGACAGAGGUGAAAUCCCCGGGCUCAACCUGGGAACUGCCUUUGUGACUGCAUAGCUAGAGUACGGUAGAGGGGGAUGGAAUUCCGCGUGUAGCAGUGAAAUGCGUAGAUAUGUGGAGGAACACCGAUGGCGAAGGCAGCCCCCUGGGCCGAUACUGACGCUCAUGCACGAAAGCGUGGGGAGCAAACAGG